RNAcentral lists this ribosomal RNA (118 nucleotides) under Diaphorina citri (Asian citrus psyllid). The record is from RNAcentral. Lineage: Eukaryota; Metazoa; Arthropoda; Insecta; Hemiptera; Psyllidae.
GCCAGAGGCGAUAGCACGCUGAAUGCACCAGUUACCAUUUUUUCACUGAAGUUAAGCACAGUUGCGCGUGGUUCGUAUCCGGAUGGGAGACAAUCAGGGCUAUCGCCUGCUACUGGCU